AGCUCUCCUUUAGUGAGUACUAGUGAAUGAUUUAGUACAAAUGACAUUAGGAAAUAUUGUGAAAGAAUGAUCUCUAUUUAUAGAAGAGAGUUUCUAGUUUCAUUUUAACAUUGACACGUGUCGUGUUGUGAUUGGCUUCUGAUGUUGACACGUGUCGCGCUAUGAUUGACUUCUGAUGUCGACACGUGUCACGCUUUGAUUGGCCUCCUGGUUGUAGGGAAACUCUUCUGGGUCCUUGAUGGUAUAACGUUGACCGGUGCUCAGUAGUUUCGGGAUUGGUCAAGUAUGGUACAAACAACCGUAUUUCAUACAAAUACACGAAUUUACUUUUGAUCUUUGUAUUUACCGUAGUAGUUACAUUUAUAGGUGAAAUGCAACUCAAGGACCUCCAAAACCUGCAAAGCAAUGUCGAGUCGACGACUCAAUUGUAAGUGGGUCUUUGCUAAAGACCUUUAUGAGAACAACUAAGUUAAACCAAGAAACGAUCAACAAAAGGCUUUUGAAUAUCUAAGUUAGACUUGAUAAACGACAUUAACCUCCCAUUGUGAAAUGUGAUGUCCUUUUGUACUAGUAAAGAUGAACACGAUGAUAGAAUGUAGAGGUGCAUGUGGCAUUAGCUUAUUGGUUAUUGUAUGUGAUAAACUUAAUAUUCAAGAUGUAUCUCCACGUCAACAAUCCAUGACAAAGGACUCCCCAAGUCAGCAUCAACUCCAACAAUCUGAAUUAAUCAACUCAACAGCAUUGUUGGAUAGCAAUCCAACUCUUCAUCAGAUAUAGAGGAAUCACAAUCAUUCCUCAUCUGAAACUUCUUCUCAAACUUCGUUUUUAACGGGAAUUGAACCUAAGACCUCUCACUUACAAGUUAAGAGGAAUACCACUAGAUCGUAAUACUAUACAAUACAACAAAAGAAUGCUAACAACCCAUAUUUAAUGAAAUAAGCACAUAAAUUGGCAUCAGUAACGGAUCACACAUUAGAAUCAUAAGUUCCCUAAUGUUAAAGGUUCAAAUUUUUUAGAUAGAUACAGAAAGGGAAGUGCGCAAGAACAUUUUCAAUUUAUUCAUUAAAGCAUUUCGUCAAACAGUCGGCUUGUUUUCGCUGAACUAUGUUGGGCAAAUGUCAACAAACAUCGACAUAUGUUGAAACAAUCUGAUAAGUGUUAUCUAGAGCAUUUGUUGAAUGCAGUCGACGCAGCCUACCAAAUGUUGUCAAGAUAUGCCUAGCAGAAAACCUACAUGAAAUGUUGGGUAAAUUACCAAUUUAGUCAAUGAAUUGUCACCUGAGUGAAAAUUAGGUCUCUGAACUAUCUUUUUUUUUAGAAGAAUCAGUCAUUGAAUUAUAAAAAUCUAUUAAUUACAUCCCUAAUAUUAGAUUCGAAGCUACUAUAUUCAAUUUUCUGUUAAUUUAAGUUACUUUACUUGCAUGUGAUAUACAUUGGAUGAUAGAUUGGUAAUUUUUCAUAAAGAAAUAGUGUAUAGAGUUAACUUUGAAAGGUAGAUUAGAUGUUAGAUUCCCAACCUAUAUGAAAUGUUAAGGGCUUAUAGGCGAGAAAAUGACGGUAUUACACUCUAAAAUGUGUCAAGUGACUUAAGUUGAUGAAAAAAUGGAUAAAAUAGCUUUGAAUAUGAUGGUAAAUAUGAAAUUAGUAAUUUUUAAUGAAUUUAGGGAUUUAUUUUAUCAAAAAAUAAUUCAAGAACCUAAUUUUCACUGAGGUGAUAGUUUAGGGGCUGAAUUGACACUUCACCCAAAUGUUUGGACAGUGUGCAAAAGACCUUCACAGUAUUUUUCGGCUUUCCAGCGACCUUGAGACCACUUGAUCCUAUGUAUAUCCCCUUUUGGCAUGACAUAUAACACCUUAGAGCAUUUCUAGCGUGCCCUAAUUCCCUUGGGAAUUGGCUGUUUAAUGACCCAAUGCCCCAACACUUGGCUCCAACCCAUUCAAAUAGCUUAGGCUCUAGGUGAGCUCGGGCUCUAGGUGAGCUCGGGCUCUCCACCAGGCAUAAAUCCACGCCCUUACACCUAAGGG
This 2025-nucleotide long non-coding RNA is filed under the name Malus domestica (apple). RNAcentral describes it as "long non-coding RNA (MDOM_LNC005458)". The record is from RNAcentral. Lineage: Eukaryota; Viridiplantae; Streptophyta; Magnoliopsida; Rosales; Rosaceae.